GACACUGAGGCUUGAAAGCGUGGGUAGCAAACAGGAUUAGAUAUCCUGGUAGUACAUGCCGUAAAUUGAUGUCUACUAGUCGUUGGGUCCCUUGAGGACUUAGUGAUGCAGCUAACGCAAUAAGUAGACCGCCUGGGGAGUACGGCCGCAAGGUUAAAACUCAAAUGAAUUGACGGGGGCCCGCACAAGCGGUGGAGCAUGUGGUUUAAUUUGAUGCAACGCGAAGAACCUUACCUGGUCUUGACAUACACAGAAUCUUGUAGAGAUACGAGAGUGCCUUCGGGAAUUGUGAUACAGGUGCUGCAUGGCUGUCGUCAGCUCGUGUCGUGAGAUAUUGGGUUAAGUCCCGCAACGAGCGCAACCCUUGUCCUUAGUUACCAGCGGGUUAAGCCGGGAACUCUAAGGAUACUGCCAGUGACAAACUGGAGGAAGGCGGGGACGACGUCAAGUCAUCAUGGCCCUUACGACCAGGGCUACACACGUGCUACAAUGGUAGGUACAGAGGGCAGCUACACAGCGAUGUGAUGCGAAUCUCAAAAAGCCUAUCGUAGUCCAGAUUGGAGUCUGCAACUCGACUCCAUGAAGUAGGAAUCGCUAGUAAUCGCGGAUCAGAAUGCCGCGGUGAAUACGUUCCCGGGCCUUGUACACACCGCCCGUCACACCAUGGGAGUUGAUUGCACCAGAAGUGGUUAGCC
Molecule: ribosomal RNA, 695 nt
Filed under: uncultured bacterium
Lineage: Bacteria
Description: bacterial SSU rRNA
Rfam family: Bacterial small subunit ribosomal RNA
Source: RNAcentral